GCCUGGUUAGCUCAAUCGGUAGAGCGUCAGACUCUUAAUCUGAAGGCUGCGGGUUCGACCCCCGCAUCGGGCU
This is a non-coding RNA of Arthrobotrys conoides, 73 nucleotides long. Lineage: Eukaryota; Fungi; Ascomycota; Orbiliomycetes; Orbiliales; Orbiliaceae. The record is from the annotation of a GenBank genome assembly.